UGUAGUUGAUACUUUUGUGAAAAAAUAAAAGAAAUAAAUGUUAGGAAUAGAAACAUUUACUUUUGUGGAGAGCUAAAGAUGUAUUAAAAUAUUUAUUAUUGGUGUUUUGCUAAAAAAUACAUUGCAGCUCCAAAGAAUAUUUAAUUGUCAAAAAACAUAAAUUAAUUAAAUCGUUCAUUUAAUCAAACGAUUAUUGGCAAGUCACCAAAAUUUAAAGUAUUCAAAGGAGAAAAUGCACUUGCUUUAAUUGAGGAAGAAGAGAAAGUGUGAGAAUAUUUUCAUGUAAAGUUUAGCGGAUUAAAAAGUUAUAAAUAGGAAAUUUUGACUCAUCAAUAUACCGGUAACUUAAAUAGGUGGCAGUAGUUCAUAAAUUAAGAAGACUCAAGGUCGACGUCUACUUGCUUUCAGUGGUGUUAGUUUUUGCUUCGUUUUUGGGUGUGGGUUUUCCUAAAAGCACAAGUAACAAUAAAACAAACUAAACAGACAGCUGCAAAUUAUGGCCAUUAGCUUUGAUAAGUAUAGGAAGCAGAUUGAAGCUGGUUGGAAAGAUGUUUUGGACGACAAGUCAUCAACUGAUUGGGCAUUGUUUGGAUAUGAGGGUCAGACAAAUGUCUUAAAACUAGUGGCAAGUGGAGAGGGUGGCGUGGAAGAGUUAUGUGAGGAUUUGAAUAGUGGAAAAAUAAUGUAUGCCUUCGUACGAAUUGAAGACCCAAAAACAGGAUUAAAAAAAUUCUUGCUCAUUAAUUGGCAGGGCGAAGGUGCACCUGUUCUACGAAAAGGCACUUGUGCGAAUCAUAUACACGACGUAGCAAAAUUGUUGUCAGGAGCUCAUCUAACAAUCAAUGCUCGAAAUGAGGACGAUAUUGACUUGGAACGGCUUUUGAAAAAGCUUAGUACAGUUUCAUCGGCGUACAGCUUUAAGGAACCACGAGCUGUAAAUGACGAACAAAAAACGCCUAUAGGUACAAAUUACACUCGUGUUAUACCAACUAAAGAAUUAAAUGCAUCAGUCAUGCAAAAUUUUUGGAAGAAAGAAGAAGAAGAGGAGAAACAUCGUUUGGCAGCUGAUAGAGAGCAAAAGCGUUCAGAACAAGCCAAGUUAGAGAAGGAGCAGCGUGCACGAGAAGAAAAGGAGCAUUUAGAAAGGGAAAAAAAAUUGCAGAUGGCUAAUAAAUUACAACCAGCUCAUGUCCCCAUUAAAACGUCACCACAACCCUUAAGUCCCGAAAAAACUGUAGCUAGUAGUUUUGGAUCGGCAUUAACCGAAGCGGAACGUAUGCGACAACAGCGCAGCCAAGAAGCGAGAGAAUUAAUUGGAACUCGUGUUGGGGCUGCAAAAGCAAUGUUUACUAAACAUACUAGCGAGGGACAAUUACAAUGCAAACUAAAUACGGCACCGCCAGCAAAACCCGUUCGAAAUUCUAUAACACAGCGCAUUCAUGUUUUCAAUCAAAAUCAAUCACAAAAUGAAUCCAACAUUGUACUUUCGCACGGACACCAAGUGCUUGGCAAAACUACUUCUUCCAAACAAACACUAGAUGAACCUACAAAUGCUCCAAAAGAUGAGAACAAAUUUGAAAAAGAAGAAGGAACAAGCCACAAUUUGGACACAAAUUUGGAGCCUGUUAAGCCUGAAAUGACAGCUAUAGCUAAUAUUGAAGAGGAAUCAAACAGCAUUGAUGAUUACCCGUUAGAACCAGAUAGUGAACAGUAUUCGACCAUUAAAAGGUCACCACAUAGCAAAUCGAAUUCUUUACAAUCACCAGACGAUACAUCAUCAUCAAAUAACACGGAUACUGCCCUGUAUCAAGACGAAGAAGAAGAGGUUAUGCGUACUAAAGUUUCAGUAACAGUGCAGCAAUCCCAGUCACAAGCGGUAGCUACAAGUAAGAAUGGUUACUUGGGAGAGAGAAAUGACAUGAACGAUAUAGUUAACGAAGAUGAUUUCAUAUGUCAGGAUUCAUUGGGGGAUUUGGGCUUAAAAGCCCGUGCAUUAUAUGAUUAUCAAGCAGCUGAUGAAUCUGAAAUUACCUUUGAUCCCGGCGAUGUUAUUACUCAUAUUGAUCAAAUCGAUGAAGGGUGGUGGCAAGGUUUGGGACCUGAUGGAACUUAUGGACUGUUUCCGGCAAACUAUGUCGAAAUAAUAGACUAAUAAUCUAUAGGAAGGAGAAAAUUUUUUAAAAUAUAUAUUUUACUAAAAUUUUAGGUUUAUAAAAUGUUUAGAUAAUUUUAACAAAUAAAAAAAUUAUAUAUCUUAUUUGUUGAAAUUACUUUGCAUAUUUACAAGCAAUAGUUAAAAAAAAUCCAAUUUUAAACUCCAUAUACAGAAACUGUAAUUUAGAACUUUUGCUAAUUAAAUAUUGUAUCUACAAUUAAUACUUAAUCAUUAUAUUAGUGGUGCCAACUCUAAAGCAUUAAUAUGUAUUUUCGUAAAAAAUAAUUGUUUAUACAUUUUUUGCAGCUUUAUUUUUAAGACCUUAAUAGAUUGAAUCCAUUGUCAAAACCUGCAAAUGACAUCUUCAUAAAUAAUAAGAGAUUUGGAAAUAAAUUCAUAUUCAGUAAUAAAUUAUAUGAAUUUGCUACCAGUUUCGAGUCUUUUUAAAAGUCACUAAAUGUAUAUAAAAUGUUUACUUUAUAUACAUACAUACAUGUAUAUAUAUGUAUGUAUUAAUAUUGGUUUGUUAAAUAAAAAAAACUUUGAAUUUCAUUUUGAUAAUUUAUGUCAGUUGCAGAUUAAUUUUAAGUCAUAUAAUUGUUUUGUUUUUCUUACGUCCUUAUUUUAACUAUUGCGUCCUGUCACACAAUUAUUAUUUUUGUUGUAUAUUAUAUUUUAUUAAAAAAAAACUACGCUUAGCGUUUAUGUUUUUAUACAUAUUAUUUUGAAAACACUUAUGUCCUUUUUAUAUUUUACUCUUUCAUACAUUCAUAAACAUAUACAAUAAACAAAAAAUAUAUUAAAACGUAA
RNAcentral lists this unclassified non-coding RNA (2965 nucleotides) under Lucilia cuprina (Australian sheep blowfly). RNAcentral describes it as "drebrin-like protein, transcript variant X4". Lineage: Eukaryota; Metazoa; Arthropoda; Insecta; Diptera; Calliphoridae. The record is from RNAcentral.